This 406-nucleotide ribosomal RNA is filed under the name uncultured bacterium. RNAcentral's name for it is "partial 16S ribosomal RNA". It matches the Rfam family "Bacterial small subunit ribosomal RNA", at positions 28 to 526 of the family's 1533-position model. The record is from RNAcentral.
GAUGAACGCUAGCUACAGGCUUAACACAUGCAAGUCGAGGGACCGGCGCACGGGUGAGUAACACGUAUACAACCUGCCCUUUACUCGGGGAUAGCCUUUCGAAAGAAAGAUUAAUACCCGAUAUAAAGGAUGGGGAUGAGUUCCAUUAGGUUGUUGGUGAGGUAACGGCUCACCAAGCCUUCGAUGGAUAGGGGUUCUGGGAGGAAGGUCCCCCAAUGUGUAUCUGGUACACGGUCCAAACGCCUACGGGAGGUAGCAGUGAGGAAUAUUGGUCAAUGGGCGCUAGCCUGAACCAGCCAAUUAUCGGUAAGGAUGAAGGCUUAUGGGUCGUAAACUGCUUUUAUAUAAGAAUAUGUAUUAUAUGAAUAAGGAUCGGCUAACUCCGUGCCAGCAGCCGCGGUAAUAC